Molecule: ribosomal RNA, 805 nt
Filed under: Alanphillipsia aloigena
Lineage: Eukaryota; Fungi; Ascomycota; Dothideomycetes; Botryosphaeriales; Botryosphaeriaceae
Description: eukaryotic LSU rRNA
Rfam family: Eukaryotic large subunit ribosomal RNA
Source: RNAcentral
GGGAUUGCCUUAGUAACGGCGAGUGAAGCGGCAACAGCUCAAAUUUGAAAGCUGGCCCUCUCAGGGUCCGCGUUGUAAUUUGUAGAGGAUGAUUCGGCGAGGGCUCCCGCCUAAGUCCCCUGGAACGGGGCGUCAUAGAGGGUGAGAAUCCCGUAUGCGGUGGGCUGCCUUAGCCAUGUGAAUCUCCUUCGACGAGUCGAGUUGUUUGGGAAUGCAGCUCUAAAUUGGAGGUAAAUUUCUUCUAAAGCUAAAUACUGGCCAGAGACCGAUAGCGCACAAGUAGAGUGAUCGAAAGAUGAAAAGCACUUUGGAAAGAGAGUUAAAAAGCACGUGAAAUUGUUGAAAGGGAAGCGCUUGCAACCAGACUUGUCCGCAGUUGCUCAGCCGGUCUCCUGACCGGCGUACUCUUCUGCGGCCAGGCCAGCAUCAGUUCGGGCGGUCGGAUAAAGACCCCGGGAAUGUAGCUCCUCUCGGGGAGUGUUAUAGCCCGGGGUGGAAUGCGGCCAGCCUGGACUGAGGAACUCGCUUCGGCAAGGAUGCUGGCGUAAUGGUUGUAAGCGGCCCGUCUUGAAACACGGACCAAGGAGUCUAACAUCUAUGCGAGUGUUUGGGUGUCAAACCCAUACGCGUAAUGAAAGUGAACGGAGGUGGGAACCCGCAAGGGCGCACCAUCGGCCGAUCCUGAUGUCUUCGGAUGGAUUUGAGCAAGAGCAUAGCUGUUGGGACCCGAAAGAUGGUGAACUAUGCCUGAAUAGGGUGAAGCCAGAGGAAACUCUGGUGGAGGCUCGCAGCGGUUCUGACGUGC